CAGUGAGGAGAGGCCUCUUCUGGAGAAGAACAAACCCGAGGGAGGCCCUGUCAGGACGGUCUCUAUGAACCGAGGCAGGUCAGAUAACGCACACAAGUGCAGCUCCAGCUGAAGGCAUCAUUCUUACUUCAGUCGCUCACGGAGGUCACUCUGUAGACCCACGGGCAGAGUGGCUGCUCUCCAGCCUGUUCAGACAACAAAGUACUCUGCUCACCGAGGCCCCUCUUCCUUCUCCUCCAUUCAGAGUUGGGAUCUGCCUAAUUGGAUUCGAAGGUCGGGCAACCGCCCCCUCGUGUGUCUGGCCCAAGCUGUGGAGCACGCUGAGCUGUGGUGGAUGCUUCUUCACUGCUGGGUUUUGCCACCAGCGCCACUGCCCUGCGUAGGGGACAGCCUGACAAGUCUUAAGCAUUGUAAAAUGAAGUGUGCAUUCUCUGCCUGCAUGUGUGGACUGGCUCAGAAGAGGGCAUUGGAGUCUCUGGAACUGGGCUUACGGACGGACGGCUGCAAACCGUGACGUAGGCGCUUAACACCAAGCCUGGAUCCUCUGCAGGACCAACGAGCACUCCUGACUGAUGAGCCAUCUCUCCAAGCCUGUCAAGAACCUUUUAUUAAAAGCUUGAUUUUCUU
Molecule: long non-coding RNA, 627 nt
Filed under: Rattus norvegicus (Norway rat)
Lineage: Eukaryota; Metazoa; Chordata; Mammalia; Rodentia; Muridae
Description: long non-coding RNA NONRATT017807
Source: RNAcentral